GAUGAACGCUAGCGGGAGGCUUAAUACAUGCAAGUCGCGGGGUAACAGUUCGGCUGACGACCGGCGCACGGGUGAGUAACGCGUACAAAUCUACCUUUAGGAAAGGGACAGCCCUGGGAAACUGGGAUUAAUACCUUAUAGUAUCGUAAGAUUAAAGCUUCGGCGCCUAAAGAUGAGUGUGCGUCCCAUUAGCUAGUUGGUAGGGUAAUAGCCUACCAAGGCUACGAUGGGUAGGGGGCGUGAGAGCGUGGACCCCCACACGGGUACUGAGACACGGACCCGACUCCUACGGGAGGCAGCAGUAAGGAAUAUUGGACAAUGGGCGCAAGCCUGAUCCAGCCAUCCCGCGUGCAGGAUGACGGCUCUAUGGGUUGUAAACUGCUUUUAUAAGAGAAGAAUAGCAUUAAUUUAUUAGUGUGUGACGGUAUCUUAUGAAUAAGCACCGGCUAACUCCG
This 455-nucleotide ribosomal RNA is filed under the name uncultured Saprospiraceae bacterium. Its description in RNAcentral is "bacterial SSU rRNA". It matches the Rfam family "Bacterial small subunit ribosomal RNA", at positions 28 to 505 of the family's 1533-position model. The record is from RNAcentral. Lineage: Bacteria; Pseudomonadati; Bacteroidota; Saprospiria; Saprospirales; Saprospiraceae.